GACGAACGCUGGCGGCGUGCUUAACACAUGCGAGUCGAACGGAAAGGCCCCCUUGUGGGGUACUCGAGUGGCGAACGGGUGAGUAACACGUGAGUAACCUACCCUUGACUUUGGGAUAACUUCAGGAAACUGGGGCUAAUACCGGAUAGGAGCUCCUGCUGCAUGGUGGGGGUUGGAAAGUUUCGGCGGUUGGGGAUGGACUCGCGGCUUAUCAGCUUGUUGGUGGGGUAGUGGCUCACCAAGGCUUUGACGGGUAGCCGGCCUGAGAGGGUGACCGGCCACAUUGGGACUGAGAUACGGCCCAGACUCCUACGGGAGGCAGCAGUGGGGAAUAUUGCACAAUGGGCGGAAGCCUGAUGCAGCAACGCCGCGUGCGGGAUGACGGCCCUCGGGUUGUAAACCGCUUUCGCCUGUGACGAAGCGUGAGUGACGGUAAUGGGUAAAGAAGCACCGGCUAACUACGUG
RNAcentral lists this ribosomal RNA (465 nucleotides) under uncultured bacterium. RNAcentral describes it as "partial 16S ribosomal RNA". It matches the Rfam family "Bacterial small subunit ribosomal RNA", at positions 28 to 507 of the family's 1533-position model. The record is from RNAcentral.